GAUGAACGCUGGCGGCGUGCCUAAUACAUGCAAGUCGAGCGAACGGACGAGAAGCUUGCUUCUCUGAUGUUAGCGGCGGACGGGUGAGUAACACGUGGAUAACCUACCUAUAAGACUGGGAUAACUUCGGGAAACCGGAGCUAAUACCGGAUGAUAUUUUGAACCGCAUGGUUCAAAAGUGAAAGACGGUCUUGCUGUCACUUAUAGAUGGAUCCGCGCUGCAUUAGCUAGUUGGUAAGGUAACGGCUCACCAAGGCGACGAUGCAUAGCCGACCUGAGAGGGUGAUCGGCCACACUGGAACUGAGACACGGUCCAGACUCCUACGGGAGGCAGCAGUAGGGAAUCUUCCGCAAUGGGCGAAAGCCUGACGGAGCAACGCCGCGUGAGUGAUGAAGGUCUUCGGAUCGUAAAACUCUGUUAUUAGGGAAGAACAUAUGUGUAAGUAACUGUGCACAUCUUGACGGUACCUAAUCAGAAAGCCACGGCUAACUACGUG
Molecule: ribosomal RNA, 497 nt
Filed under: uncultured bacterium
Lineage: Bacteria
Description: partial 16S ribosomal RNA
Rfam family: Bacterial small subunit ribosomal RNA
Source: RNAcentral